This 497-nucleotide ribosomal RNA is filed under the name uncultured bacterium. RNAcentral's name for it is "partial 16S ribosomal RNA". It matches the Rfam family "Bacterial small subunit ribosomal RNA", at positions 28 to 507 of the family's 1533-position model. The record is from RNAcentral.
GAUGAACGCUGGCGGCGUGCCUAAUACAUGCAAGUCGAGCGAACGGACGAGAAGCUUGCUUCUCUGAUGUUAGCGGCGGACGGGUGAGUAAAACGUGGAUAACCUACCUAUAAGACUGGGAUAACUUCGGGAAACCGGAGCUAAUACCGGAUGAUAUUUUGAACCGCAUGGUUCAAAAGUGAAAGACGGUCUUGCUGUCACUUAUAGAUGGAUCCGCGCUGCAUUAGCUAGUUGGUAAGGUAACGGCUUACCAAGGCAACGAUGCAUAGCCGACCUGAGAGGGUGAUCGGCCAAACUGGAACUGAGACACGGUCCAGACUCCUACGGGAGGCAGAAGUAGGGAAUCUUCCGCAAUGGGCGAAAGCCUGACGGAGCAACGCCGCGUGAGUGAUGAAGGUCUUCGGAUCGUAAAACUCUGUUAUUAGGGAAGAACAUAUGUGUAAGUAACUGUGCACAUCUUGACGGUACCUAAUCAGAAAGCCACGGCUAACUACGUG